AAUAGAUACCCCGGUAGUCCACGCCGUAAACGAUGAGUGCUAAGUGUUAGGGGGUUUCCGCCCCUUAGUGCUGCAGCUAACGCAUUAAGCACUCCGCCUGGGGAGUACGGUCGCAAGACUGAAACUCAAAGGAAUUGACGGGGGCCCGCACAAGCGGUGGAGCAUGUGGUUUAAUUCGAAGCAACGCGAAGAACCUUACCAGGUCUUGACAUCCCGCUGACCGCUCUAGAGAUAGAGUUUUCCCUUCGGGGACAGCGGUGACAGGUGGUGCAUGGUUGUCGUCAGCUCGUGUCGUGAGAUGUUGGGUUAAGUCCCGCAACGAGCGCAACCCUUGAUCUUAGUUGCCAGCAUUCAGUUGGGCACUCUAAGGUGACUGCCGGUGAUAAACCGGAGGAAGGUGGGGAUGACGUCAAAUCAUCAUGCCCCUUAUGACCUGGGCUACACACGUGCUACAAUGGACGGUACAGAGGGUCGCAACCCCGCGAGGGUGAGCAAAUCCCAUAAAACCGUUCUCAGUUCGGAUUGUAGG
RNAcentral lists this ribosomal RNA (529 nucleotides) under uncultured bacterium. RNAcentral describes it as "bacterial SSU rRNA". It matches the Rfam family "Bacterial small subunit ribosomal RNA", at positions 777 to 1304 of the family's 1533-position model. The record is from RNAcentral.